AGUGAACGCUGGCGGUAGGCCUAACGCAUGCAAGUCGAACGGCAGCACAGUAAGAGCUUGCCCUUACGGGUGGCGAGUGGCGGACGGGUGAGGAAUACAUCGGAAUCUACUUUUUCGUGGGGGAUAACGUAGGGAAACUUACGCUAAUACCGCAUACGACCUACGGGUGAAAGCAGGGGAUCUUCGGACCUUGCGCGAUUGAAUGAGCCGAUGUCGGAUUAGCUAGUUGGCGGGGUAAAGGCCCACCAAGGCGACGAUCCGUAGCUGGUCUGAGAGGAUGAUCAGCCACACUGGAACUGAGACACGGUCCAGACUCCUACGGGAGGCAGCAGUGGGGAAUAUUGGACAAUGGGCGCAAGCCUGAUCCAGCCAUACCGCGUGGGUGAAGAAGGCCUUCGGGUUGUAAAGCCCUUUUGUUGGGAAAGAAAAGCAGCAGGUUAAUACCCCGCUGUUCUGACGGUACCCAAAGAAUAAGCACCGGCUAACUUCGUG
Molecule: ribosomal RNA, 492 nt
Filed under: uncultured bacterium
Lineage: Bacteria
Description: partial 16S ribosomal RNA
Rfam family: Bacterial small subunit ribosomal RNA
Source: RNAcentral